CGCUGGCGGCGUGCCUAACACAUGCAAGUCGAACGGGGAUUUGUUUCGGCAGAAUCCUAGUGGCGAACGGGUGAGUAACGCGUAGGCAACCUGCCCUCCGGCCGGGGACAACACUCCAAAGGGGUGCUAAUACCGGAUACGAAGUCUGUGCCGCAUGGUACGGAUUUGAAAGAUGGCCUCUAUUUAUAAGCUAUCGCCGGGGGAUGGGCCUGCGUCCGAUUAGCUGGUUGGUGGGGUAACGGCCUACCAAGGCGACGAUCGGUAGCCGGUCUGAGAGGAUGAACGGCCACAUUGGGACUGAGACACGGCCCAGACUCCUACGGGAGGCAGCAGUGGGGAAUCUUCCGCAAUGGGCGCAAGCCUGACGGAGCAACGCCGCCGUGAGUGAGGAAGUUUUUCGGAACGUAAAGCUCUGUUGUUCCUGACGAACCUCCCUUCUAUCAACAACGGAAGGGACUGAACGGUAGGGAACGAGGAAGCCACGGCUAACUACGUGCCAGCCGCGGC
This 507-nucleotide ribosomal RNA is filed under the name uncultured bacterium. RNAcentral's name for it is "bacterial SSU rRNA". It matches the Rfam family "Bacterial small subunit ribosomal RNA", at positions 34 to 518 of the family's 1533-position model. The record is from RNAcentral.